This 457-nucleotide unclassified non-coding RNA is filed under the name Hevea brasiliensis (rubber tree). Lineage: Eukaryota; Viridiplantae; Streptophyta; Magnoliopsida; Malpighiales; Euphorbiaceae. The record is from RNAcentral.
GGUACUCUUAGAUCUCAAAUUUCCUUUCUUGGUAUUAACAUUUUCUCUAUAUUCACUGUUCUGCUUCAUAUAGUUCUUAAUUGUCAAUCAAUGUCACAAGGCUAUGCAAUUGAGCUUUAUUUCGAUCCGGCCCUUGAAAACCAGGUCUUGAAGGCCUGGAACGUGCUAGCUCGACGCCAAAUCAGCACCCAACUCAUCGAAAUCGAGUCUCGCCCUCACAUAACCCUCUAUUCUAGCUCGUUUGUUGAGCCUACUAAACUGGAAUCGAUAGUCAAGACCUUUGCCUCAAAGCAGGAACCAUUACCCUUAUCUCUCUCUGCAAUUGGGGGUCUUCCAAAUGACAACAAUUUCCUCUUUUUAGCCCCUACGCCGUCACUUUCACUUCUUCAAUUUCAUUCUCAGUUGUACGAUGCAUUGAAGAAGGAGGGAAUUGAGAUCAGUGAAGAGUACCGCCCUG